This is a non-coding RNA of Kogia breviceps (pygmy sperm whale), 4295 nucleotides long. Lineage: Eukaryota; Metazoa; Chordata; Mammalia; Artiodactyla; Physeteridae. The record is from RefSeq and is a predicted model, not a curated record.
CACUCACCCCGCGCCUCACUUUUGGCCCCUCCCGGCCGCCGUUGCCUCCAUAACUCCGCGACCGUGACCCGGAAGAACAUUCUCCUUAGCAACUGCGGGACCGCGGCGGCGCUUGCCUCCCAGGAGACACGCUAGUGACAACUGAGCUGAUCAAGGCCAGAAGAACUCUGAGCUAAGCAGUGGAGGCCCUCCUGGAUCUAGAGAGAAGAGGUGACCUUGGAACCAGUAAUGAGCCAUCCUGACUACCGGCUGAACCUCCGGCCCCUGGGGACCCCCAGAGGCACGUCCUCUUUGGCUGGCCCACGUGGUGUUGGUGCUUCACCAGGUGACAAAAAGUCAAAGAGCAAGACCAUACGAGGGAAGAAAAAAAGCAUAUUUGAAACCUACCUGUCCAAGGAGGACGUUUCAGAAGGCUUGAAGAGAGGAACACUUAUUCAGGGUGUAUUGAGAAUUAAUCCGAAGAAGUUUCACGAAGCCUUCAUUCCUUCCCCGGAUGGUGAUCGAGACAUUUUUAUUGAUGGGGUUGUUGCUCGUAAUAGAGCCUUGAAUGGGGACCUGGUGGUUGUGAAUCUGCUUCCAGAGGAGCAGUUGAAGGUAAUUAAACCAGAGAGCGAUGACAAAGAAACAGAAGGUGCCUAUGAAUCAGAUCUCCCCGAGGAGCUCUGUGGAAGCCAUCUCCUGCAACAGUCCCUGAAAGGCUAUAAUGACAGUCCUGAUGUCAUUAUAGAGGCUCAGUUUGAUGACAGCGACUCGGAAGAUGGACGUGGCAACACGCAGAAUGCUCUGGUUGACGGUGUUAAGAAACUCUCAGUUUGUGUUCAUGCAAAAGGAAAAGAAGAUGCUGGUGCACCAGUUACAAAAGACGAGAACACCUUCAUGUCACAGGACACAAGAGCUUUACCAGAGAAGUCGCUACAGAGAUCAGCAAAGGUGGUUUACAUCUUGGAAAAAAAACAUUCCCGUGCGGCGACUGGCUUCCUCAAACUCUUGGCCGAUAGGAACAGUGAACUGUUUAGGAAGUAUGCCCUGUUUUCUCCCUCGGACCACCGGGUGCCUAGAAUUUAUGUACCUCUCAAGGACUGUCCCCAGGACUUUGUGACCCGGCCUAAAGAUUAUGCCAACACGCUGUUCAUCUGCCGCAUUGUGGACUGGAAGGAAGACUGCAACUUUGCCCUGGGGCAGCUGGCUAAGAGUCUUGGGCAGGCUGGUGAAAUCGAGCCUGAAACAGAAGGGAUACUAACAGAGUAUGGAGUGGAUUUCUCUGAUUUCUCUUCAGAAGUUUUAGAAUGUCUCCCUCAAGGCCUGCCUUGGACAAUUCCACCAGAGGAAUUCAGCAAGAGAAGAGAUUUAAGAAAAGACUGUGUCUUCACCAUCGACCCAUCAACUGCCCGAGACCUCGAUGACGCCCUCUCCUGCAAGCCCGUCGCUGAUGGCAACUUUGAAGUGGGAGUUCACAUCGCUGACGUCAGUUACUUUGUUCCUGAGGGAUCCAGUCUGGAUAAAGUGGCUGCUGAGAGAGCUACAAGUGUCUACUUGGUUCAGAAGGUUGUCCCCAUGCUUCCCAGGCUGCUGUGUGAGGAACUGUGCAGCCUCAACCCCAUGACCGACAAGCUGACCUUCUCCGUGAUCUGGACGCUAACUCCGAAGGGCAAGAUCCUCAGUGAAUGGUUUGGCCAGACUAUCAUCCGCUCCUGCACCAAACUGAGCUAUGAACACGCCCAGAGCAUGAUUGAAGGCCCAACCAGGAAGAUCCCCGAGAAGGAGCUGCCCCCCGUCUCCCCGGAGCACACCAGUGAGGAAGUGCACCGGGCGGUUUUGAACCUGCACGGUAUCGCAAAGGAAUUACGUCAACAGCGGUUCGCGGGCGGCGCACUUCGUUUGGAUCAGCUAAAGCUUGUUUUUACUCUGGACCACGAGACAGGAUUGCCUCAAGGAUGUCACAUCUACGAGUACCGUGACAGCAACAAGCUCGUGGAAGAGUUCAUGCUCUUGGCCAACAUGGCUGUGGCCCGCAAGAUCCACUGCACCUUCCCCGAGCGAGCCCUGCUACGGCGGCACCCCCCACCCCAGACCAAGAUGCUCAAUGACCUGGUGGAAUUCUGUGACCAGAUGGGGCUGCCCAUGGACUUCAGCUCUGCAGGGGCCCUCCAUAAAAGUCUGAUGGAGACAUUCGGAGAUGACAAGUACUCACGGGCCCAGAAGGAGGUGCUCACCAACAUGUGCUCCCGGCCCAUGCAGAUGGCCUCGUACUUCUGCUCGGGGGUGCUGCAGGGCCAGGCACAGCUCCGCCACUACGCCCUCAACGUGCCGCUCUACACGCACUUCACCUCUCCCAUCCGCCGCUUCGCUGACGUCUUGGUGCAUCGCCUCCUGGCCGCCACGCUGGGCUACAGGGAGCUUCCAGACGUGGAGCCCGAUGCCCUGCAGAAGCAGGCUGACCACUGCAACGACCGCCGCAUGGCAUCCAAGCGCGUGCAGGAGCUCAGCGCCAGCCUCUUCUUUGCCAUCCUGGUCAAGGAGAGCGGCCCCCUGGAGUCGGAAGCCAUGGUGAUGGGCGUCCUGAGCCAAGCCUUCGACGUGCUGGUGCUGCGCUAUGGGGUACAGAAGCGCGUCUACUGUAACGCGCUGCCCCUGCGGUCAUACCGUUUCCAGAAGGUGGGCAAGAAGCCGGAGCUUACGCUUGUCUGGGAGCCUGAGGACGCAGAGCAGGAGCCAGCGCAGCAGCACCUUGACCAGCCUUCGGCCCGUCCAUCCUGCCACCCCCAAGACAUCCCAGAGGCCGCCAUUCCCUCUCUGCUCCUGCCCCAGAGCCUUCUAGAACCGGCUAUCUGGAAGGGCAGUGGUGAGGGUCCGGUGGUUUGGUAUUUGGAUGAAGAGGUUUCUGGGUGCUUCUGCAGCCAGGGCAGCCUGACAAUGCGAGCUCAAGGGCCAGACCUCCCAGCCCUGUCCUCAACCUCCCACCCUACCCACCCGCUGAGGGGGAACUGCCCCUCUCUCCUCGCGCUGUCCCCCAGGGCCUCCCGUGGAGCCUGGGAGCUGAGGGCAGAGCAGAGCCCCACGGAGGGGCGCCCUCUGGAUGGUGGUGGGUCCGCGUGCUGGGCCUUCUCUCGGGCAGCGUGGACGCAGGCUGGACCCCCUUGCUUACGGCCCCAGCGCCCCAGACCGCCCCAGACCAAUCGUAGCCAGCUUGGUCAGCAAGGAAGACUGUUGCCGCCUGGACUUGCUGGGGAAGCAGAGGCUGGCGUCGUCCUGAUGGCCCUAGAACUGAGGGACCCAUAGCAGCCCCAGCGCCUCCAGCCCACUUGACAGAAGGGGGAACCGUGCCCAGAAAGGAGCCCCUGAAGCACAGCCCAGCACCAAUCCUGCGACCUCGUCUUGGGACUUACAUCCAGACUUCUCUUCCGCCCGGACCCCACGGGAACCCGCCUACCGGCUUGACUUCCUGCUCCUCUCCCAAGGGCGCCAGACACUCUGGUCAGGGGAGGCCCCUGGGCCCCAGCCUGUAAAGUCCACACUCCUCCUCCUGACCGGCGCAGGAGACCUCAAUUCUUCCCCGGGACAGUGUCCAGGAGCAUGAACGGGUUGAGGCAUCCCGCGCCCUCCUAGACAGGAGGCCCUGUCCUGGUUGGGUCUGUGGGGGCUCAUCUGGGCCUCCAGGAUGCUUUACAUGCGGUCGCUGCUCAAGAGACUUUACACUGAAUCAAGUUGUCUCCAUUAAAGAACAAGCAGCCGCCGAGCUUCUGAUUUUUGUCUCUGAGACCCUCUCUGGCCAGCCUCUCUCAGAGAGCCCCAUCAGAGCCUCUGAGACCUCAGCCCUGCCUCCUGACCUCUUUCCAAGGCCGGUAUCAUGGGUUCUAUCUACUAACAGUUGCCUCUGGGGCCUCCUUUCUUCCAGCUUUGCCACCUCCCUCCAACCCCAGAUGCCAAAGCUGACGCUGACCCUUCUGCAGGUGGAGAGAUUCCCAGCAGGAGGGCGGGCAUGGGCCCUGGGGUCCCCGGAUGAACCCCGAUGUACGCCCUCCAGCUCUGCUGAGUCCAGAGCACAGCUCUGCAGACAUUUCCCCCGUGUGACCCUUGGGUGCCCUGGGGUUCGUGCCGUCUCUGGUUCCUUCCGCAGCCCCCCAGGACCGGCCCUUCCCGAGGCUGUUCUCCAGUCACUCCCAUCUGCCCCUCGGGAAGUGCAGAGCCAGGUUCUAAAAGCACACAAACCACAGCCACAAAGAAAGGCGGCUUCCCCUCCCCCAAUGCCAGUGCCUUCACCUUCCAUGUGACCUCUGAGAUGUCUGGGCACUGAC